AGGACGGGUGAGUAAUGCUUAGGAAUCUGCCUAUUAGUGGGGGACAACAUUCCGAAAGGAAUGCUAAUACCGCAUACGCCCUACGGGGGAAAGCAGGGGAUCUUCGGACCUUGCGCUAAUAGAUGAGCCUAAGUCAGAUUAGCUAGUUGGUGGGGUAAAGGCCUACCAAGGCGACGAUCUGUAGCGGGUCUGAGAGGAUGAUCCGCCACACUGGGACUGAGACACGGCCCAGACUCCUACGGGAGGCAGCAGUGGGGAAUAUUGGACAAUGGGCGAAAGCCUGAUCCAGCCAUGCCGCGUGUGUGAAGAAGGCCUUUUGGUUGUAAAGCACUUUAAGCGAGGAGGAGGCUACUUGGAUUAAUACUCUAGGAUAGUGGACGUUACUCGCAGAAUAAGCACCGGCUAACUCUGUGCCAGCAGCCGCGGUAAUACAGAGGGUGCGAGCGUUAAUCGGAUUUACUGGGCGUAAAGCGUGCGUAGGCGGCUUCUUAAGUCGGAUGUGAAAUCCCUGAGCUUAACUUAGGAAUUGCAUUCGAUACUGGGAAGCUAGAGUAUGGGAGAGGAUGGUAGAAUUCCAGGUGUAGCGGUGAAAUGCGUAGAGAUCUGGAGGAAUACCGAUGGCGAAGGCAGCCAUCUGGCCUAAUACUGACGCUGAGGUACGAAAGCAUGGGGAGCAAACAGGAUUAGAUACCCUGGUAGUCCAUGCCGUAAACGAUGUCUACUAGCCGUUGGGGCCUUUGAGGCUUUAGUGGCGCAGCUAACGCGAUAAGUAGACCGCCUGGGGAGUACG
This 790-nucleotide ribosomal RNA is filed under the name Enterobacter sp. Its description in RNAcentral is "bacterial SSU rRNA". It matches the Rfam family "Bacterial small subunit ribosomal RNA", at positions 99 to 884 of the family's 1533-position model. The record is from RNAcentral. Lineage: Bacteria; Pseudomonadati; Pseudomonadota; Gammaproteobacteria; Enterobacterales; Enterobacteriaceae.